CCCUUUUUCCAAACAACAUGUCCGAGACAAAAAAAAAAAUUUCAAGACAAACCAUGUACUACUCCACGAUAUUAACUGAAACUCAUUACAUUAUUCAGUCGUCUAAUUAUACAUACACGACUCCUGAAACCAUGAAACAGCAUACACUUCAACAUAGCAGCACAAAUUCAAAUCCCACAUUCCCAUGGCCAUGGCGACAAAACAUACUCCCACUAGUCUGCCACCUUUAUUAAAUAUAGGUAAAAAAAACUCAAAACAUCGCAUAACAUUACGUGCAUUUAUUUUGGCAUUAUUCGGCUGGCUCAGCACUGAAACGUGUACAUACAUACAUAUAUAUAUAUAUAUAUAUAUAAGUGAUGUUCAUCUGAUCAAGCAGAUUGUUCGGGUGGAUCAAGAACUUUCAUGUCUGUUUCUUCAUCAAAUGGGAAUGGCUUGAUGGGUUCAGAUGCUUCCAAAAGCUCCUCAAUCGGUAUCUUUGGUUUUGACCGUGCCAAAGGGACGACCUUGCUAUACAGAUUC
RNAcentral lists this long non-coding RNA (519 nucleotides) under Panax ginseng (ginseng). Its description in RNAcentral is "long non-coding RNA (PGIN_LNC009402)". The record is from RNAcentral. Lineage: Eukaryota; Viridiplantae; Streptophyta; Magnoliopsida; Apiales; Araliaceae.